Molecule: ribosomal RNA, 294 nt
Filed under: uncultured bacterium
Lineage: Bacteria
Description: partial 16S ribosomal RNA
Rfam family: Bacterial small subunit ribosomal RNA
Source: RNAcentral
GUGGAUUAGAUACCUCAGUAGUCCUGGCCCUAAACGAUGUCCACUAGAUCGCAGCACUUUUGACGGUGUUGUGGUCGAAGUAAAAAUGUUAAGUGGACCGCCUGGGAAGUACGGUCGCAAGGCUAAAACUCAAAGGAAUUGACGGGGGCUCACACAAGCGGUGGAGCAUGUGGUUCAAUUCGAAGCAACGCGCAGAACCUUACCUGGGUUUGACAUCCUUGGAUUAUCUCCAUGAAAGUGGAGUAGGCCCUUCGGGGUACAACUUGGACAGGUGCUGCAUGGUGGUCGCCAGCU